RNAcentral lists this ribosomal RNA (403 nucleotides) under uncultured bacterium. RNAcentral's name for it is "partial 16S ribosomal RNA". It matches the Rfam family "Bacterial small subunit ribosomal RNA", at positions 30 to 526 of the family's 1533-position model. The record is from RNAcentral.
AUUGAACGCUGGCGGCAGGCCUAACACAUGCAAGUCGAGCGAGCGGCGGACGGGUGAGUAAUGUAUGGGGACUGCCCGAUAGAGGGGGAUAACUACUGGAAACGGUAGCUAAUACCGCAUACUAUCGGAUAACCCAUAUGGGAUUAGCUAGUAGGUGAGGUAAUGGCUCACUUAGGCGACGAUCCCUAGCUGGUCUGAGAGGAUGAUCCGCCAAAAUGGGCAUGAGACACGGCCCAGACACCUACGGAGGCAGCAGUGGGGAAUAUUGAACAAUGGUCGCAACCCUGAUGCAGCCAUGCCGCGUGUAGGAAGAAGGACCUAGGGUUGUAAAGUACUUUCAGGCGGGAGGCGGUACCGACAGAAGAAGCACCGGCUAACUCCGUGCCAGCAGCCGCGGUAAUUC